RNAcentral lists this ribosomal RNA (468 nucleotides) under uncultured Alphaproteobacteria bacterium. RNAcentral's name for it is "bacterial SSU rRNA". It matches the Rfam family "Bacterial small subunit ribosomal RNA", at positions 9 to 524 of the family's 1533-position model. Lineage: Bacteria; Pseudomonadati; Pseudomonadota; Alphaproteobacteria. The record is from RNAcentral.
GAGUUUGAUCCUGGCUCAGAACGAACGCUGGCGGCAUGCCUAACACAUGCAAGUCGAACGAAGGCUUCGGCCUUAGUGGCGCACGGGUGCGUAACGCGUGGGAAUCUGCCCUUGGGUCCGGAAUAACAGUUAGAAAUGACUGCUAAUACCGAAUGAUGUCGCAAGACCAAAGAUUUAUCGCCCAGGGAUGAGCCCGCGUAGGAUUAGCUAGUUGGUGAGGUAAGAGCUCACCAAGGCGACGAUCCUUAGCUGGUCUGAGAGGAUGAUCAGCCACACUGGGACUGAGACACGGCCCAGACUCCUACGGGAGGCAGCAGUGGGGAAUAUUGGACAAUGGGCGAAAGCCUGAUCCAGCAAUGCCGCGUGAGUGAUGAAGGCCUUAGGGUUGUAAAGCUCUUUUACCCGGGAUGAUAAUGACAGUACCGGAGAAUAAGCUCCGGCUAACUCCGUGCCAGCCGCCGCGGUAAG